GAUGAAGAACGUAGCGAAAUGCGAUACUUGGUGUGAAUUGCAGAAUCCCGUGAACCAUCGAGUCUUUGAACGCAAGUUGCGCCCGAAGCCACUAGGCCGAGGGCACGCCUGCCUGGGCGUCACACGUCGUUGCCCCCCCAUCUACUCCUUCGGGAUUGCGGGGGGGCGGAUGAUGGCCUCCCGUGCGCCUAGCCGCGCGGUUGGCAUAAAUACCAAGUCCUCGGCGACGCACGCCACGACAAUCGGUGGUUGCGAAACCUCGGUUGCCCGUCGUGUGCGUUCGUCGCGCAUCGAGGGCUCGAAAAAAUGCUCGGCUUCGGCUCGGCUUUCAACGCGACCCCAGGUCAGGCGGGGUUAUCCGCUGAAUUUAAGCAUAUCAAUAAGCGGAGGA
RNAcentral lists this unclassified non-coding RNA (391 nucleotides) under soil metagenome. Its description in RNAcentral is "partial contains 5.8S ribosomal RNA, internal transcribed spacer 2, and large subunit ribosomal RNA". The stretch from base 1 to 122 matches the Rfam family "5.8S ribosomal RNA", at positions 35 to 154 of the family's 154-position model. The record is from RNAcentral.